RNAcentral lists this transfer RNA (75 nucleotides) under Chitinophagaceae bacterium. RNAcentral describes it as "tRNA-Arg". It matches the Rfam family "tRNA". Rfam says of the family: Transfer RNA (tRNA) molecules are approximately 80 nucleotides in length. Their secondary structure includes four short double-helical elements and three loops (D, anti-codon, and T loops). Lineage: Bacteria; Pseudomonadati; Bacteroidota; Chitinophagia; Chitinophagales; Chitinophagaceae. The record is from RNAcentral.
GGCCCUAUAGUUUAAUGGAUAAAACGGGAGUUUCCUAAACUUCUGAUCCAAGUUCGAUUCUUGGUGGGGCUACAA